AACGAACGCUGGCGGCAUGCUUAUCACAUGCAAGUCGAACGGGCGCCUUCGGGCGUUAGUGGCGCACGGGUGAGUAACGCGUGGGAACCUGUCAUGAAGUGGGGAACAACCACUGGAAACGGUGGCUAAUACCGCAUACGCCCUGAGGGGCAAAGGCUUCGGCCGCUUUGUGAGGGGCCCGCGUCCGAUUAGCUAGUUGGUGGGGUAACGGCCUACCAAGGCUACGAUCGGUAGCUGGUCUGAGAGGAUGAUCAGCCACACUGGGACUGAGACACGGCCCAGACUCCUACGGGAGGCAGCAGUGGGGAAUAUUGGACAAUGGGCGAAAGCCUGAUCCAGCAAUGCCGCGUGAGUGAAGAAGGCCUUAGGGUUGUAAAGGCUCUUUCGCCUGCGACGAUGAUGACGGUAG
This 409-nucleotide ribosomal RNA is filed under the name uncultured bacterium. RNAcentral's name for it is "bacterial SSU rRNA". It matches the Rfam family "Bacterial small subunit ribosomal RNA", at positions 29 to 478 of the family's 1533-position model. The record is from RNAcentral.